CAAAAAAAUAUUAUGGUGAUGACAAAAGUAACUUACUUUUGAAUAAAAAAGUGGUUAAAAUUUGCCACAUUAAAAGUUUUUUUCUUGUUUUGAAAAUGAAAACUUUUACUGCUACAGUUUUUGAAAAUCUCAUUGCUAACUUAUUUAAAAGUUUUAACUUUUAAUUCGACUGUAUAAUUUCUUUCAUUUUGUCGUUCUCGUGAAACCGUGUAAGUCCAAAAUGUAAACAAACGUUUAGGUGAUUCCGGUGGUUAUUGAGUGGUGGUCCACGACGUCAAUCAAAACAGAACGCGACCGCAGCCAGGACUUGAACGCGGAUACCUUCGAAGGAGGAUGGUGCGGAACAAGGUUGGGGGAUUAGGGAAAAGUUGGUUUUCAAAAGGAUAAGGCCAGCUUCCUGCCGGAUCUGCAGCUGUUUCACGACCGAAAUGGGACGCCGUUUAUGCGGAUGUGAAUUUGCACCGGUUGUAUUCGGUGGUGGUGGCCCGGGGUGGGUAGACGAGAUUGAAGUUGGAGCAGAUUUACAUCCGCUUUUUGAACAAGUUUGAUAAAGUAAAUUUCAACGGUGAGGAGAAGGAUCCGACGGAAGAGGGAAACGACGAGAAGCGAUCGGAGGUGGUCAGCGCGGAUGUUGCACUUGGACCCUCAGCAUCAUUAUGUGCCGGAAGUGAUGACGGGACAGUGUGGGAUGUCCUAAGGGUCCGCAGUCCAUUUCUCGGUGCGGGACAUGUUUGACGAGUAUUACCUAAACAUCCGGAAGAACAGUUUGCACCAGUUCUGGAAGGACCAUCUGUACGAAAGCCGCAGGUCCUGAAGCUGUCGUACUCGGAUUACUUCUAGAGGUUGAAGCGAUAUCCGACGAACCUGAUCAAGAACAUCUAGCUGGAAUACCGAAGAAUUCACCGCAACGCCCGCCCGCAAACGCUCAACUCGCGACGGCGCAGCUUCGGCCGAAUGAACUGGCAACAUCUGUGUCAUUCUCGAAAGAGGACGAAGUGAUCGGGAACUAUCGGUUCAGGCGCUUCACUUCCCAGUCGGAAAACGUCGACUUCCCUUCCCGAAUCAACACCCAAUGGCCAACUCCUCCAAGCCUGUCCUGAUGAUGGCCGGCAACGAGACCACCCUGUUCUCUACAUUGCUGUCGCGCUCAAAAAUGAAGGCCGCGAUGUUAAGCAGCAUAAGCAGCAGUUUUAAUAUAAACAUAAAAAUAAAAAUAGAAAUAAAAUAAUUGUUAAAUGUUAUUUAUUGUUGCCAUAAAAAGUUUCUUCUUAUAAUAAAAGUAAAAAACUUUUACCGAUACAACGAUUUUGUUCCAGAAAUGCAUGGUAGUAUCAAAAACUUUCCAACUUUUAAAUUAAAAAGUUUGAACUUUCUACGAAUAUUCACCAACGCGAACUUUUAAUCCAACGAACGAUCUUUUUAAAUUCAGAGUAUUUUUUCUUUGUGUGUAUACAAUUGUUUAGCUCACAAAUAAUUUU
Molecule: long non-coding RNA, 1478 nt
Organism: Culex pipiens pallens (northern house mosquito)
Lineage: Eukaryota; Metazoa; Arthropoda; Insecta; Diptera; Culicidae
Exons: 3
Source: RefSeq, a predicted model, not a curated record